ACCAUCCUGAAGAUUGAAGCUUGCUUCAUGAUUCAGAUUUUGGUGAGUGGCGGACGGGUGAGUAACACGUGGGUAACCUGCCCAAAAGUGGGGGAUAACAUUUGGAAACAAGUGCUAAUACCGCAUAACAACUACUUUCACAUGAUCGUAGCUUGAAAGAUGGCUCUGCUAUCGCUUUUGGAUGGACCCGCGGCGUAUUAGCUAGUUGGUGAGGUAAUAGCUCACCAAGGCAAUGAUACGUAGCCGACCUGAGAGGGUAAUCGGCCACAUUGGGACUGAGACACGGCCCAAACUCCUACGGGAGGCAGCAGUAGGGAAUCUUCCACAAUGGGCGAAAGCCUGAUGGAGCAAUGCCGCGUGAGUGAAGAAGGUUUUCGGAUCGUAAAACUCUGUUGUUGAAGAAGAACAUGCGUGAGAGUAACUGUUCGCGUACUGACGGUAUUCAACCAGAAAGCCACGGCUAACUACGUGCCAGCAGCCGCGGUAAUACGUAGGUGGCAAGCGUUGUCCGGAUUUAUUGGGCGUAAAGAGAAUGUAGGCGGUUUAUUAAGUUUGAAGUGAAAGCCCUCGGCUCAACCGAGGAAGUGCUUCGAAAACUGGUAAACUUGAGUGCAGAAGAGGAAAGUGGAACUCCAUGUGUAGCGGUGGAAUGCGUAGAUAUAUGGAAGAACACCAGUGGCGAAGGCGGCUUUCUGGUCUGUAACUGACGCUGAGAUUCGAAAGCAUGGGUAGC
RNAcentral lists this ribosomal RNA (733 nucleotides) under Companilactobacillus farciminis. RNAcentral describes it as "bacterial SSU rRNA". It matches the Rfam family "Bacterial small subunit ribosomal RNA", at positions 61 to 769 of the family's 1533-position model. Lineage: Bacteria; Bacillati; Bacillota; Bacilli; Lactobacillales; Lactobacillaceae. The record is from RNAcentral.